UUUCAAUAUCUUUAGAAUAUCUUCGAUCGAUUUUGAAAUGGUCGCUUCCAACUCGAGCAGAACUUUUGUUUCGAAACAGAAAAACGUAUUCCACAUAUCUCUUACAUCCGCUUGCGUCUUUAGCUCAAAUUUAUUAAACUCAAACUUCCUUUUGUUGUCAAUCAACGGUGAACGAUACUCGAGUUUCACAAUCUUUCAAUUGUCUUCGUAAGGUAAGAGAUAAUGAAUUUCGUAUUUGAUAUCUUCGAGGGAGGUGAUGUCAUUGAGUUUGAACAUGCACCCAAGUGUAGAGCUGGUGAACGAGACAUUAUCAGCUUGUUUAACGCUCGGGUCUAAUGAAAACAAUUACAACAUAACAACAUAUACACGCUACUGCUGAAGACAGAAUUGAAAAUCAAACUCGGACGCUAAGAGAGUACUUGAGAAGAAUACUGAGUGAGAAGAGCGAGUUCGGAAGCCCUAACCAGAAAGAGAAAUCGAGCGAUUGAGAAGCUUUGUGGAAUGAAUUGAAUUUUUGUUAUAUAGUAAACUUCUGAUCUAUAAAAUUGUGUAGAUGGCCAUCUCUAUCUAGGAAACUGAUAUCCAGUAAACACAUGGUUGCAAGAAAAUAAAAAUCGUCAAACAAAGCUAGAUACCAAAAUCAAAAAAGGAUCAUGAACAAACUUCAGUUAUGGCUGCAAAAACAAGCAAACAAAGUUAGUUAUUAAAAUAGAAAUAGGAAUAGAUAUAGAUAAGGAAAAAGUUGGAAGGGGCGGUGGUAUAUAGGGUGGAGAAAUGGGUGGCGACGAAUUUAGGAUUUAUGGGCGAAAACAGAUGAAAUAUGUGAGAGAGAGAGAGAUAUGUGGUAAAUGAAAAGUAAGUGUGAAGAGAGAUAAGAGAUAAUUUGAAAUUGCAAUGAAGGAUCUUUACCUGAAAUUUUAUCUUUUGUUGCUCCCUAUGAUGUGAUGAGCCAAAAGAAUGAAGAUUUUGAAUGAA
Molecule: long non-coding RNA, 975 nt
Filed under: Lathyrus oleraceus (garden pea)
Lineage: Eukaryota; Viridiplantae; Streptophyta; Magnoliopsida; Fabales; Fabaceae
Description: Pisum sativum (pea) long non-coding RNA (PSAT_LNC015350)
Source: RNAcentral